CUGACACAGGCAGCAUUAUGAUGAUGUCAAACGUUUUACUGCUGGUGAUGCUGGGACUCUUUGCUCAGGAAUCAAUGGCAGAUAUAGUUCUGACUCAGAUACCAGCAGCUCAGUCUGUUCAGCUGGGAGACACUGUCUCUAUCAGCUGUACAACCAGUCAGGGCGUUUACAGUGGCAACUUCCUCAGCUGGUACCAGCAGAAACCUGGUCAGGCUCCUAAACUUCUGAUUUAUUAUGCCACAAGUCGCCAGACUGGGAUUCCUGAUCGUUUCAGUGGGAGUGGAUCUGGGACUCAGUUUACACUGAAAAUCACUGGAGUCCAGGCUGAAGAUGCAGGAGAUUAUUACUGUCAGAGUUACCACAGUGGCCAUGUGUUCACACAGUGA
Molecule: non-coding RNA, 386 nt
Organism: Anguilla anguilla (European eel)
Lineage: Eukaryota; Metazoa; Chordata; Actinopteri; Anguilliformes; Anguillidae
Source: the annotation of a RefSeq genome assembly